UAAAAAAGAAGAAAUUAAGAAUAAAAGUAUAAAAAGGAUAAAAAAAAAAUAAAGACAAAAUCAUAAUGUCACGCCCUGGAUUACACGUUUUUCCGGGCGCGCCAACAGACCCGCCCGCCGUAUACGAAGGAAUUUUUCUUGUAUACGAAGCGAAGCUGUACUGAAACUAUAAUCAAACAACACUACAACCAGUAGUAUAGAGCUGCUAGAAUGAAAACAGAUAAAUAAACAAGUUCCAAAUACAUACGUAACAUCCAGGAACAAAACUGCUCGCACAAGCGAGUCUAACAUCCGUAUGUACAUGAACUCAAAAAUAAAAGUACAACUACCUGCAGAAGGUACUCUACUAGCUCAGGCUUGACUGGUAGGGCUCUAACUCGCGACGCCCUUGCCACGACAGGAUCAGCAGCAGCAGCAGCCGAAGACGACGGGUCUGCAAAACGGAAGCGAAAAACUGGGCGUGAGAACUACUGCAAAAAUAAGUAGUCCUCAGUGGGUGCCGCCCUCAACAUUAUCGGUCCACCCACUAAGUCUAC
This 536-nucleotide long non-coding RNA is filed under the name Ananas comosus (pineapple). Its description in RNAcentral is "long non-coding RNA (ACOM_LNC000413)". Lineage: Eukaryota; Viridiplantae; Streptophyta; Magnoliopsida; Poales; Bromeliaceae. The record is from RNAcentral.